GAUGAAGAACGCAGCGAAAUGCGAUAAGUAAUGUGAAUUGCAGAAUUCAGUGAAUCAUCGAAUCUUUGAACGCACAUUGCGCCCGCCAGUAUUCUGGCGGGCAUGCCUGUUCGAGCGUCAUUUCAACCGUCAAGCCCCCGGCUUGUGUUGGGGACCUGCGGCUGCCGCAGGCCCUGAAAAGCAGUGGCGGGCUCGCUGUCACACCGAGCGUAGUAGCAUACAUCUCGCUCUGGGCGUGCUGCGGGUUCCGGCCGUUAAACCACCUUCAUAACCCAAGGUUGACCUCGGAUCAGGUAGGAAGACCCGCUGAACUUAAGCAUAUCAAUAAGCGGAGGA
Molecule: unclassified non-coding RNA, 336 nt
Filed under: soil metagenome
Description: partial contains 5.8S ribosomal RNA, internal transcribed spacer 2, and large subunit ribosomal RNA
Rfam family: 5.8S ribosomal RNA (bases 1-120)
Source: RNAcentral